CCUACGGGUGGCUGCAGUGGGGAAUAUUGGACAAUGGGCGAAAGCCUGAUCCAGCCAUGCCGCGUGUGUGAAGAAGGCCUUCGGGUUGUAAAGCACUUUCAGUGGGGAAGAAAGCCUUGGGGCUAAUACCCUCGAGGAAGGACAUCACCCACAGAAGAAGCACCGGCUAACUCCGUGCCAGCAGCCGCGGUAAUACGGAGGGUGCGAGCGUUAAUCGGAAUUACUGGGCGUAAAGCGCGCGUAGGCGGUCUGAUAAGCCGGUUGUGAAAGCCCCGGGCUCAACCUGGGAACGGCAUCCGGAACUGUCAGGCUAGAGUGCAGGAGAGGAAGGUAGAAUUCCCGGUGUAGCGGUGAAAGGCGUAGAGAUCGGGAGGAAUACCAGUGGCGAAGGCGGCCUUCUGGACUGACACUGACGCUGAGGUGCGAAAGCGUGGGUAGCAAACAGGAUUAGAUACCCCUGUAGUC
RNAcentral lists this ribosomal RNA (465 nucleotides) under Vreelandella stevensii. RNAcentral's name for it is "partial 16S ribosomal RNA". It matches the Rfam family "Bacterial small subunit ribosomal RNA", at positions 338 to 795 of the family's 1533-position model. Lineage: Bacteria; Pseudomonadati; Pseudomonadota; Gammaproteobacteria; Oceanospirillales; Halomonadaceae. The record is from RNAcentral.